CCUACGGGGGGCAGCAGUGGGGAAUAUUGCACAAUGGGGGAAACCCUGAUGCAGCGACGCCGCGUGUGGGAAGACGGUCCUCUGGAUUGUAAACCACUGUCCCCAGGGACGAAGAUGACGGUACCUGGGGAGGAAGCUCCGGCUAACUACGUGCCAGCAGCCGCGGUAAUACGUAGGGAGCGAGCGUUGUCCGGAAUUACUGGGUGUAAGGGGAGCGUAGGCGGGACUGCAAGUUGGGUGUCAAAUCUACCGGCUCAACCGGUAGCCGCACUCAAAACUGCAGUUCUUGAGUGAAGUAGAGGCAGGCGGAAUUCCUAGUGUAGCGGUGAAAUGCGUAGAUAUUAGGAGGAACACCAGUGGCGAAGGCGGCCUGCUGGGCUUUUACUGACGCUGAGGCUCGAAAGUGUGGGGAGCAAACAGGAUUAGAUACCCCUGUAGUC
RNAcentral lists this ribosomal RNA (440 nucleotides) under uncultured bacterium. RNAcentral describes it as "partial 16S ribosomal RNA". It matches the Rfam family "Bacterial small subunit ribosomal RNA", at positions 338 to 795 of the family's 1533-position model. The record is from RNAcentral.